GAUGAACGCUAGCGGGAGGCUUAACACAUGCAAGUCGAGGGGCAGCAUAGGGUAGCAAUACUCUGAUGGCGACCGGCAAACGGGUGAGUAACGCGUAUGUAACCUACCCUGUACAGGGGGAUAACCCGGAGAAAUUCGGACUAAUAUCCCAUAACAAUAUCCGGGGGCAUCUUUGGAUAUUUAAAGUUCCGGCGGUACAGGAUGGGCAUGCGCGACAUUAGCUAGUUGGUAAGGUAACGGCUUACCAAGGCGACGAUGUUUAGGGGACCUGAGAGGGUUGUCCCCCACACUGGUACUGAGACACGGACCAGACUCCUACGGGAGGCAGCAGUGAGGAAUAUUGGUCAAUGGGCGCAAGCCUGAACCAGCCAUCCCGCGUGAAGGAAGAAUGCGCUACGCGUUGUAAACUUCUUUUCCAGGGGGAGAAUAAUCCUGUCGUGACAGGACUUGACGGUACUCUGGGAAUAAGCAUCGGCUAACUCCGUG
This 486-nucleotide ribosomal RNA is filed under the name uncultured bacterium. Its description in RNAcentral is "bacterial SSU rRNA". It matches the Rfam family "Bacterial small subunit ribosomal RNA", at positions 28 to 507 of the family's 1533-position model. The record is from RNAcentral.